GAAACGGGGACUUGGGAGCGCGCGCUGCCCCUCACUUGGCUGCAACUGGACCCAGAACUAGGGAAGAGGCCAGGGACAGAUUUUUUUUUUUUAUUUUUAUUUUUUUUGCCGAGGGACGUUUCAAAAUUUUGCACGGCCAGGGUGACAAAAAGAGGAUUUAAGAGCCACAAGCGGUCCGCACAUGACCCAGACUUCGUUCCUGUGCGGCUUCCAGAGGUGUUCAUGCAGAAGACUGGAUGCAGGACCCUUGGUGGCACCAGUGUGCAGAUGAGCAGAUAGUGACUGAUUGCCACUGGGGCUAUAACAAAAUAUAAUAAACUGGGUACCUUAGAAGCAACGGAAAUUGAUUUCUCAUCGUUCUAGAAGCUAGGAAGUUCACGAUCAAGGUAGCAGCAGAGUUGGUGCCUGAUCUUUACCAUGCUGGAUUGGAAGAGAAAAGACCAUCACUAAAGCAAAUGGAUCAAAUGGAGUUAUAAAUCAACUCUGUACUCUACAGGAUUGACUCAACUGCAGACAUCUCCAAUACACUCCCUCAUGGCUUUAUUUUUUCUGCUUAUGUGGAAAAAUAACAGUAAAUACAGUUAACUAUCCCAAGACAGAAGAGUAUUAUUAAAAAAGAAUACAACGUUAUUGAUUUUUCAAGACAUAAUCAGAUAUUUUUAAACUCUGAUUUAAUAAAACAUAAUGUAAUUUCU
This is a long non-coding RNA of Homo sapiens (human), 695 nucleotides long. Lineage: Eukaryota; Metazoa; Chordata; Mammalia; Primates; Hominidae. The record is from Ensembl.